GACGACGCACACACUACCAUGCAAGCGUAUAAUAGCGUACACGACGGCGGAGAGAGAUCUUAUUCAUCAGUCAACUCAUACAUGUAUAGGUAUGUAGCGACGGUGGAGGCAGGCAGGAUUCGGAGCGGUGGAAUGGAUCAUAGAUCCGGCGGUCGUUUAGCUCACCCUGCAGCAUGAAGCAAGAAUCAGUAUAUGCAUUUCAUGCAUGCAGUGAUUAAUUUAAUUACGUGCUGGUUGAAGCAAAAUUAAAGUCGAAGAUAUGGAUGAUUGAUCGAGGUGUUAAUUACCUGGAGCAGUCGGUGGAGGUGCUGAUGGAGUAUGGGAUGCUGACGCCGCACUUGGAUGGGAUGCUGGCGGCGUUGCCGGCGUUGAGUCCGCUGAUCCCCCUGGCGGCGUUCUUGAGGCAGUUGCAGGCGGCGCGCCUGUCGGCGGUGGUCCUGGCGGCGGAGUUGAGGCUCCUGACGCCGUUGCAGCAGCCGGCGGAGGGGGCGGAGCCCUGGCCGCGGGCGUAAGGGAGGCACUGGCCGAUGGCGGAGUUGACCUGGCCGCAGCUGAUGGCGGCCUCGGAGGCCGCCGCGGCGAGCAGCACCGCGGCCACGACGGCGAGCACCACCACCUGAGCGCGAGCCAUGCUGAUGUGCGUGUUCCUGUGCUAGCUGCUAGCUGCGCUGUGGUCGAUGGAUCGGAUGUGCUCUACAAGCUGCUUGGGAAGAAUGUGCUUUGCUUUGCUG
This 731-nucleotide long non-coding RNA is filed under the name Setaria italica (foxtail millet). RNAcentral's name for it is "long non-coding RNA (SITA_LNC005583)". The record is from RNAcentral. Lineage: Eukaryota; Viridiplantae; Streptophyta; Magnoliopsida; Poales; Poaceae.